CUCUUAUGUAGUUUUAUUAUAUACUAUCAAAAUAUUUUCUAUUGUAUUUAAUAAUUAAUUCUCAUUCACACUGCCACGUCACUGUCCUCAGUGGCGUAACUACUAUGGGCUCGGACUGGGAGAAUCCGGGGGCCACCAACCCCAAUGGGCCCGCAAAUGGGGGCCCCAGGCUCAGGCUAUAGAGCAAAAACAUUGGCCAAGGGCCUCUGAUAUGUUACAAUGGCGUUUUCUGACCAUCGGAAUUCUGUAAAAUCUCUCCCCAAAGUCCGGGAAAUGGUAUUUCAGAGAAUUUAGAUUCAAAAAUUUUCCGGGUGAGCAUGCUCUGGAUCCCUAGAAAACUUGUCCAUAUAUGGUGCUUAAAGAUAUAAUUUUGCAGUGUGUAUUAAAGGGAUAUUUUUUGUCAAGAGAACAGUUUCGUUAACAUUUGUAUAGUUGUAUUGGAAAAAAAUUGCAUGCGAGAAGACAUAUUUAAAAAAAACAUGCAUACACAGCUGACAACCUGGAAAAAAAUGCAAACAAAAAAAAUUUACCCCCCCCCCCCAUCACUUUUCUAAUGGUCCGUCCCUUAGCAACCAAUAGCAACCCAUAUUGAAAGAAUUUAAAGCGGUUUUUGCUAUAAAUAAUAUAUUUACACAUGGCACCCUCAUACAAUUGAAUGCAAAUUUACUGAAAUCUAUGACACAAUUGCCACGCCCUACCCUGCCCAGUAAAUUUUAGAGUUUGGCUCUUUUCGGCUUAUUUUGAUCUUGAGUUUGGCAAAAGUUUGGCAAGUUUGGCUUUUUGUCCCAGAAAACAAUCUCGUUCCCCGAGCAUGCCCGUUCGCAGGUUAAGGGUGGGCAUAGCUCUGGAGAAAUCGAAUUGAUUCACGUUGAAUUUCCAACGUGAGUUCUACGCAUGCUCGGCAAUG
Non-coding RNA from Paramuricea clavata, 907 nucleotides. The record is from the annotation of a GenBank genome assembly. Lineage: Eukaryota; Metazoa; Cnidaria; Anthozoa; Malacalcyonacea; Plexauridae.